RNAcentral lists this long non-coding RNA (1430 nucleotides) under Anas platyrhynchos platyrhynchos (common mallard). RNAcentral's name for it is "lncRNA (ENSAPLG00000029665.1)". The record is from RNAcentral. Lineage: Eukaryota; Metazoa; Chordata; Aves; Anseriformes; Anatidae.
AUGUCGACAUCUCUAAGCAUUCUUUAUUAUUCCCAGAAAAAGGCACCUUUGGAUACAGAAGCCAACUGUGGAACAAAUCAGCAUGUUCUUGAGUGCUCAUGGUUUAAUGUUUUUUUCAGAAACAGGCAAAGUAAUAGCUGCUGUAUGAAUUCUGCCAGAGUCCAACACCCAUGUUGCAUAAGGGUUGAGGAGACUGAUCUGGAAUCCCAGUUGACAACACGAAGAUGAACUCUCAGGGCUUGAGGUCUUGGCCAUACAUCAUACAGAUCUGUAAGUGGCUGUUCAUUAACAUAGGAACAAGUUCGAGUUGAGACUGUGGUGUCCUAGCAACAGAAAGCAAAAUGUAUGCAAUUGUUUAAUGCCUUAAUUUACCAACUCCUUCAUUUUGCAUUCCACAUGAAUUUGAGAUGACAGCACCAAUAUAUAUAUAUUUGUAUGCUUGUAUAUAUACAUAGAUAUUUUAUUCAGUUAUAGGUAUAUGCAAAUACACACACACAUACAUAUACAUGUGUGCAUUCCUAGAAUAUAUGGAUACCUCAAAUUAUGAUCAGAAAAGAUUUGUUCAAAUUUCCAUUUAUGCUGUUGUGGAGGAAAGAAAUAGAUUUAAAUGCAGAAACAGGUGAAGAGUCCAUUAUCAAAUGAGUGACCUUGAUAUCAUGGCAGUUUGCUGCAUCAUAGUGUUAGUCUAAGAACCUUUAUAAAAAUAUCUUUUUACAAAACAAGGCAAGACAUUAAUGUGUUUAAAAUAUCCUCUAAUGAAUUCUGAUUCUUUCUGUGCUGAAAUCCAAGUGCAUUUACAGAUGGUUUUACCAUAUUCUAUCCUAUCGCAAAGAAAGAAAAAAAGCUGAAAUUCAGCUGGCUGGUUUCUCACUACUUCUCUAAUCUGUCUAUAAUUUUGUGCAUUUAGUCUGUGGGAGAGGUUGGAUAAUUAAAGAAUUCCAUUACCUCAACUGCUUAAGCAUUGUUACCUCCAGAGUUGGAUUCAAAGAAGACUUUUUUUUUGUUGUUUGACUUUUGAGGGAAGAACCUGUUUUUGCAGAGAAGGAUUUCAAAAGCAAUAAGAGAAGAAUAUGAACAUAAGAGAAGAAUAUAAACAUGCACAUAAACUGAGAGGAUGCAUUCUAGCUUUGUGUUUAUAGCACUGACAUUUUAUUUUACCUCUUUCUCAUCAUUGUUGAAAAAGUGUUUUGUAUGACUUUUAGAAGGAAGUUCAAUGGUUCCUUCAAGAGAUGUUUCUCAAAAGGCAGAAUUGGAAAGCCCACACUUAUCUCCUACUAUUGAUCAUUUACAUCUGAGUCUGUGCCUGAAACAAGGGACAGUAAUGGCCUAUAGGUACUACUUCCACCCUACAGGGCUGUAUAAGGCAUGGUCAGCAAGCUACAGAGCUAUAUGGAAGAAGAAGAAAUAAAUUUAUUCUGGAAUACUUUUCA